CCCUGCCAUUUGUACACACCGCCCGUCGCUCCUACCGAUCGAGUGUUUAGAUGAAUUUGACGGACUCGCGGAAGUUAAAUAAAUCUGAUCACUUAGAGGAAGGAGAAGUCGUAACAAGGUUUCCGUAG
This 128-nucleotide ribosomal RNA is filed under the name uncultured eukaryote. RNAcentral describes it as "partial small subunit ribosomal RNA". It matches the Rfam family "Eukaryotic small subunit ribosomal RNA", at positions 1651 to 1808 of the family's 1831-position model. The record is from RNAcentral.